This 431-nucleotide ribosomal RNA is filed under the name uncultured bacterium. Its description in RNAcentral is "partial 16S ribosomal RNA". It matches the Rfam family "Bacterial small subunit ribosomal RNA", at positions 29 to 507 of the family's 1533-position model. The record is from RNAcentral.
AACGAACGCUGGCGGCAGGCUUAACACAUGCAAGUCGAGCGCCCCGCAAGGGGAGCGGCAGACGGGUGAGUAACGCGUGGGAACGUACCUUUUGGUUCGGAACAACUCCGGGAUACUGGAGCUAAUACCGGAUAAGCCCUAACGGGGAAAGAUUUAUCGCCGAAAGAUCGGCCCGCGUCGGAUUAGCUCGUUGGUGAGGUAACGGCUCACCAAGGCGACGAUCAGUAGCUGGUCUGAGAGGAUGAUCAGCCACACUGGGACUGAGACACGGCCCAGACUCCUACGGGAGGCAGCAGUGGGGGAUAUUGGACAAUGGGCGCAAGCCUGAUCCAGCCAUGCCGCGUGAGUGAUGAAGGCCGUAGGGUUGUAAAGCUCUUUUGUCCGGGAAGAUAAUGACGGUACCGGAAGAAUAAGCCCCGGCUAACUUCGUG